Molecule: ribosomal RNA, 393 nt
Filed under: uncultured bacterium
Lineage: Bacteria
Description: partial 16S ribosomal RNA
Rfam family: Bacterial small subunit ribosomal RNA
Source: RNAcentral
AUACGGAGGACGCGAGCGUUAUUCGGAUUCAUUGGGUUUAAAGGGUGCGCAGGCGGCCGUGCAAGUCAGCGGUGAAAGCCCGGGGCUCAACCCCGGAAGUGCCGUUGAUACUGCAUGGCUGGAAUGCGGUCGAGGCGGGCGGAACGUGGCGGGUAGCGGGGGAAUGCGUAGAUAUGGCCCAGAACGCCGAUAGCGGAGGCAGCUCGCCAGGCCUGCAUUGACGCUCGGGCACGAAAGCGUGGGGAUCGAACAGGAUUAGAUACCCUGGUAGUCCACGCCGUAAACGAUGGGCGCUCGUCGUCGGCGGCAGACAGUCGGCGGCCAAGCGAAAGCGAUAAGCGCCCCACCUGGGGAGUACGGUCGCAAGGCUGAAACUCAAAUGAAUUGACGGGG